Molecule: non-coding RNA, 148 nt
Organism: Pan troglodytes (chimpanzee)
Lineage: Eukaryota; Metazoa; Chordata; Mammalia; Primates; Hominidae
Rfam family: Metazoan signal recognition particle RNA
About the family: The signal recognition particle (SRP) is a universally conserved ribonucleoprotein. It is involved in the co-translational targeting of proteins to membranes. The eukaryotic SRP consists of a 300-nucleotide 7S RNA and six proteins: SRPs 72, 68, 54, 19, 14, and 9.
Source: Rfam
GCUGGGUGUGGUAGUGGGCACCUGUAAUCCCAGCUACUUGGGAGGCUGAGGCAGAAGAAUUGCUUGAACCCGGGAGACAGAGGUUGCAGUGAGCUGAGAUCAUGCCACUGCACUCUAGCCUGGGAGAUAGAGCGAGACUCUGUCUCAG